AAUUCUGAGAAUUGCCUAAAGAAACCUGAGUAGGCUUGCCAAAUUUAGUGCUGAGUUAAUCAAGCAUAAAAAACGCAUGUUCCUCACCUCAAGAAUAAUUAAGCAUGGAAGUGCCGCGACAUGUGAACGUUGAAGCAUGAAUGCGUCGUCGAACCAAGAAUGUCGAGAAACUGAGGCCUUUGAACUGUGUUUAUUUUCUUUCGUUAUCAUUUCAUUCUGGGCUGGGCUUUGUACUACGUGUUUGCGCAGCUACAUUGUGAAACGAGAGCAGUGCCUUCUCCUGAAAGGAAGAUGGAUCAGUUCAAGCUAUUUAUGUAAGUUCCACGUCUACAGCAUUACUUCAGUGGCAGGUUUCUUUGUUUCCUUCCAAAAGGUCACAGGCGUGCUUUAUAUAGACGGAAAGUAGGUUGUCUCACGUAUUUCAAACUGUAUGUUGGAAGAAUUGGGGAAGGCUUUCCAAGGUUCGAGGUCACGUUGACAGGUUCUGACGGCAAAGUUAAAAAAGCACUGAUUGUAUAUAGAAUACCAACAAUAUGUUCACCUUUGAAGAAAUACGAGCGCCUGGUCUCGCGGUGCUUCCCACCCUAUUUACCGGUAGGCACCAGAUGGCAACAGGAAAAGCUUCCCAAUUUCGCUCAUGUUCUCCACUGUAUGGCAGGUGAAAUAUGCUCUUUCAGAUGUCCGACCCUCUGCUUUGCGCGCACUUAAAAGCAUUCAAGCUCUGGCACUGAAGAUCCUUAUCAGGACCAACCUCGCAUCGCAUCUGCCUGGGUCAGCACUGCCGAAGCUCGUGACUGGCCAGUUCAAAGAUUCAUCUUUGAAGACCCGUUCUUUGUUGACCUACGACAACCCACACGGCAUCAGUGUCAACCUCUGACCAAGCUACCGUCAUUACGGCAGCGCUCCAGUUUUCCUAUGGCUAUUGUCGCGCUACACCGUUAACAUCCAAGUAUGAACGCUGCUUAAUCCCUGCCAAUUCGCUGUCGGUGAUGGGUUCGCCACAGGUAAUGUUACCUAUUCAUGGAACAGGGAAGGCGUCGAUGUCAAUGGUAGACCCCAAACAGCUAAUGUUCGCUUUACGUGUGCGAAUGAAAUAAA
Molecule: long non-coding RNA, 1098 nt
Organism: Dermacentor albipictus
Lineage: Eukaryota; Metazoa; Arthropoda; Arachnida; Ixodida; Ixodidae
Source: RefSeq, a predicted model, not a curated record